CAGCCGUAAACUAUGCUCGCUAGGUGUCAGGCAUGGCGCGACCGUGUCUGGUGCCGCAGGGAAGCCGUGAAGCGAGCCACCUGGGAAGUACGGCCGCAAGGGCUGAAACUUAAAGGAAUUGGCCGGGGGAGCACAACAACGGGUGGAGCCUGCGGUUUAAUGGACUCAACGCCGGACAACUCACCGGGGACGACAGCAAUAUGUAGGCCAGGCUGAAGACCUUGCCUGAAUCGCUGAGAGGAGGUGCAUGGCG
Molecule: ribosomal RNA, 253 nt
Filed under: uncultured archaeon
Lineage: Archaea
Description: partial 16S ribosomal RNA
Rfam family: Archaeal small subunit ribosomal RNA
Source: RNAcentral